This 317-nucleotide small RNA is filed under the name Arabidopsis thaliana (thale cress). RNAcentral's name for it is "ATSL272550". Lineage: Eukaryota; Viridiplantae; Streptophyta; Magnoliopsida; Brassicales; Brassicaceae. The record is from RNAcentral.
UAAUUAUUCUUUUCUUUUCUCUUGACUCUUAGGAGAAGCUUUCUCAACACUUUGAUACAUCUAGCGGAUUUGGAUUUCUUUACCAACUAACGUUCCUGUUUUUAAAAUUUUAAAACCGAGGGCUUUUGCCCUUCUUCAUAGGUAACAAGAACUCUUUCUUUCUUUACAAAUCCCAAAACCUUAUCUAGACUUUUUUUGCUUCUUUAUCUUACUUUCUCUAGAGUCUUUUACGUUUUCUCAUCAAUGAAUCAACCCUUUUUUUUUUCUUUUAGACACAUCCCAACCCAAAGUAUAAGCACCCACCUACUCCUAUCUAG